Molecule: long non-coding RNA, 384 nt
Filed under: Phoenix dactylifera (date palm)
Lineage: Eukaryota; Viridiplantae; Streptophyta; Magnoliopsida; Arecales; Arecaceae
Description: long non-coding RNA (PDAC_LNC006172)
Source: RNAcentral
UACCAUCCUAGAACAAGAUAGGGAUAUGUUUGAAAAGGAUAUGGGCAUCCAUGCAAGAGAAGGUGGUACUCUUACGAAAGGUCAAGAUCAUAUAUAAGAAUUUGAUCAUAUAUGAGAGAGACCAUGGAAUAUAAGCCAAGCAUAAGCUUCAAAGGGAUGUGGUCAUCCAUGAAAGAGAAGGUGGAGAUCCUACAGAAGUUUAUAAUACAUAUGAUCAGGAAGCAUACAUUAAUGGAAGAAGUUUGGUAGAUGAUUUGUGUGAUAGUUGCCGGAAUCUCACCUGGAGUUUACUCUAACCACAAGUUUGGAAAAAAUAGGAGAAAAUGAUGAACCUUCACUUGAUAUUGGUCUCUAUCUGGUCAUCCGAAUUUGCAUGAAAAUCGG